GGGGAUGUAGCUCAAUAGUAGAGCACUUGCCUACCAUGUAAAAGGCCCUGGGUUUAAUUCUCAAGCACUCCA
This is a non-coding RNA of Cricetulus griseus (Chinese hamster), 72 nucleotides long. Lineage: Eukaryota; Metazoa; Chordata; Mammalia; Rodentia; Cricetidae. The record is from Rfam.